AGUAGUUUGAUCCUGGCUCAGGACGAACGCUGGCGGCGUGCUUAACACAUGCAAGUCGAACGGACAAGUACCCUUCGGGGUAUGAGUUAGUGGCGAACGGGUGAGUAAAACGCAGAUAACCAACCCUCAGGAUAGGGACAACAAGUCGAAAGAUUUGCUAAUACCUAGUGGAGUGAUAGGAUCGCAUGAUCUUAUUAUAAAAGGCAACCUCUUAAAAAUGUUGUCGCCGGAGGCCGGGUCUGCGGCUGAUUAGAUAGUUGGUGGGGUAAAGGCUCACCAAGUCGACGAUCAGUAGCCGGUCUGAGAGGAUGAACGGCCACAAUGGGACUGAGAUACGGCCCAUACUCCUACGGGAGGCAGCAGUGGGGAAUAUUCCGCAAUGGGCGAAAGCCUGACGGAGCGACGCCGCGUGAGUGAAGAAGGUCUUCGGAUCGUAAAGCUCUGUUGUUGGGGACGAAUUAACCUUCGGGGUAGUUGACGGUACCCGACGAGGAAGCCACGGCUAACUACGUGCC
RNAcentral lists this ribosomal RNA (515 nucleotides) under uncultured organism. Its description in RNAcentral is "SSU rRNA". It matches the Rfam family "Bacterial small subunit ribosomal RNA", at positions 1 to 509 of the family's 1533-position model. The record is from RNAcentral.